Prosopis cineraria is the source of this 2102-nucleotide RNA transcript. RefSeq lists it as uncharacterized. NCBI's taxonomy places the organism in Eukaryota, Viridiplantae, Streptophyta, Magnoliopsida, Fabales, Fabaceae. The transcript has 5 exons. The record is from RefSeq and is a predicted model, not a curated record.
UAAUUAUUAAGUGGCUACAUAAUUCCAGAAUCUAUGGAGGCAUUAUUGAGGCAAGAACUGUACAAAGCAUUGGGGGGACAAAAAUGGGAAGGAGUUAUAGAGAUGUACAAGAGGCAUCCACAGAUUCAGGCGGCGAAGAUCGCCAAAUCGCAAGACACUGCUUUGCACGUGGCUAUCAGUCUGGACGCACCAGAAAACAUCAUUAUAAAGCUGGUCGAUUAGAUUGAGAAUGCCAACGUUAACGACAUCCAAGUUGCCAGACAAACCUUGGAAGCUACGAAUGAGCAACAAGACACUCCUCUGCACUGUGCAGCCACGCGAGGUUCUGCCUCCAUAUGUGAACGAAUACUACGCGUUCAUCGAGACUUGGCUUCGAAACCUAACAAGCAAGGAGAGACGCCUCUUUUCCUUGCCGCUCUCAACGGCCGCAAACAUACCUUUCUCUUUCUUCAUAGGGUUUGCAGUCAGAUGCAGAACACCACUUCAUUGUGGAGGAGGACAGACGGUGACACUAUACUUCACUGCACAAUUCAAAGAGAAUACUUUGAGCUUGCACUUCAGAUCAUUCAUCUGUACAAAGACCAGAAGAUCGCUGGUGUUAAAGGUAAAGAUGGAGAUACUCCUCUUCUUGUCCUUGCCUCCAUUCCUUCCGCUUUCAAAGGGGGCACUCCCAUGUCUUUGUGGCAAAGCCUUUGUUACAGUUGCAUUAGAGAAGAAGAUCUGAAAAUAGAUACUGAAGUGGAUGGCCAAGUUUGUCUGGCCGUUGGAAAUUCUACCUCGUUGGAAGGUGAUGAUGAUCCAAGAAAGAGCCGAGGGUCAAUAAGGAAAAUGAAAGAGAAACAUGUAUGGAGUGCCCAGAUUGUGGAACAACUCUUACAACUAACUUCUGAGUAUGACUACAGCGAAGAAGAGCGUCAUCAGGAGGAUAAACAGAACCAGCAAGACGCACAAGGUAAAUUAGAAAAUAGUAAUAAACAACCUCCAUGUAUCUUAUAUAUGAAGGACCAGUUGGCAGGAAAAACUUCGGCAAAGGACAAAAAAAACGACAGCAUUGUUAGCGGCAACAAAGAAUGGUCUGCUGGAACUGGUAAAGAAAAUACUUAAAGCUUAUCCGGUGGCAAUCUACGACAAAACCGACCCAAAGAGAAGAAACAUAGUUCUUUUGGCUGUAGAAAAAAGGCAAACCCAUGUUCUCAAGUCACUGAUGAAUGACCCGCUUUGGCAUACACUCAGAGAGGAUGUGGAUAUCGAUGGAAAUAAUGUAUUGCACCUGGCCUCCUAUCAACUCAAUCAUAUGCCUUGGCAUGUUCAUGGCUCUGUCAUGCAAAUGCAAUAUGAAGCCCUCUGGUUUAAGUACGUGAAAGACAACAUGCCAGCUCACCUCUGUUAUCAAAUAAACAAAGAAGGCAAAACUCCAGAUGAGAUAUUCUCAGAAGAGCACGAGAAGCUCCUCAAGGAAAGCAACGACUGGCUCAGGGACGCUUCUGGUUCGCACGCUGUUGUUGCAGCACUUAUUGUCAGUGUCACCCAUGCCGCAUCGUCCACUGUCCCUGGAGGCACUGAUGACGCAGGAAAACCUCGCUUACGUGGCAAGCUUGCUUUCGACAUUUUCGUUUUCUCCGUUCUGGUUUCGUUCUGCUCCUCCAUCUCUUCCUUGGUAGCUUUCGUUGCUGUCUUGAGUUCUCGAAAGCAACCCGUUGAUUAUCUUCGAAGCUUGCCUCUGAAGCUUUGUUUUGGCAUGACUACUUUCUAUCUGUCCGUUGUGUCAUUGUUGGUCUCUUUCUGCGCUGCGACUUUCUUUGAACUUGAUCAGAGAAUCAAGCAAAAGAUUAGCCCUUAUGCGUUGAUGCUCAUACCUCUGUGGCUGUACACUUAUGAACAGAUUCCACUGUACUGGAAUCUUCUCAAAUCCACUUGUUCCAGCGAGCCUCUUCCAAGAUACGUGGGAGACAAUGUUACCAUGUAGAUCGAGAGAAUUGCACGUUUCUUAUUUGUAUUUCGUUCUUUUUUUUUUUUAAUCAUCUUGUGAUUUCUUGUAUGCAGCAGAAGCUUGAAAGUUUCUAUUUUUUUUUAAAUUUGUUGCAAAAUCUACUUUUUGAAAA